CCACAAUAUUCACAAGAAUCUAAUAAUUAAUCUAAUUAAUUUACAAUAAUUUAAGACUAAUUUAUUUUAAAAUUAUACUAACAAUUGAAUGGAAAGGAGAAAAGGAUACCUAUCCUUGACUCCUAACUAGGUCAUGGGGAUCUUGUCAGCUUAGAAGCACAAGCCUGGUAGAAUCUUUGGGACUCUAUGCAAAUACAAAGUCUCUUGGAAUCUUGAAAAGGCGCUUUCUGAGAAAGCAUCUAAACUUUGGGUAUUUUAGGGAAUUCUAGGAAUUUCUGGGAAUUUCAGGAUUUUUAAUCUAUAUUUUGAAUUUUUUAAAAUAGAAAAAUAGGUGAAAGAUAAAAGAGACUUGAAUAUUUUUUGAGGUUUUGGAAGUCAAUUAGAGUUAUUUUGAAGUGGUUUUCACGUAAGGAGGGUUCUUUAUGUGAUGCGAACCAGGUUUCUAAAAUCAGAAAACGGUUUGCUUAUGGACCCAUUUAGGGGUGAAUUAACUCAAAAAAUCAAUAUAAUGGCGAUCCUGUAAAUCACAUCAAAUUCCUAACAAAGGGCAAUCUGGUAAAUAGAUGAUUACUUCAAUAGAAGGGAAAAUAUCAAAGGAAGAAGCAACGUACUAGUUAGGUAGGGGUAGAUUUAGAAAUAAAAGAAAGUGGGAAAUAGAAACAAAAGAUAGGGGCAAUUCUGGGAUUUAACAGGAAUAAGGAAAUAAACCUAGCUUAAGUGGUGUUCUUCAACCUCACGACAACCAGAAAUGGGUGACAGCCUCUAUGGUUUUACUGAAACUCUUCCACACCAGCUUGGAUCGACCUAGGGCCUGGAAUGGAGAAUCGCAGCACAAGGAAGUUGUGUUGGCAGCACCAGGGGCUCUCGAUAUUCCAGAUUAGAUGGGGUCUUCGAACCUGCAGCUGGAUAUUGCGAUGGCAAGAGCUCAGAUCUGAUUCUGGGUUGAAUUUCUUCACAACAGAACCAAGCCUCGAAGGAGAUGACCUAGGAUUUGUAUCGCCUAGGAGAGAGUUACCUUCACUCAAAAUCUCAGUCCAAAAAACCCAUGCAUGAGGGAGAUCGAUCUGCUUCAAGGAGACAGCAACGAUAGCCAGAAACAAGGUAGGGAAACAAACCAAAAAGAAGAAGAAGAAGAAGAAGAAGAAGAAGAAGAAGAAGAAUAUAAGGAAGAAGAAGAGAAGGGAAAGUAAGAGGCAGAGAGAAAUUAUUAGAAAGGGAGAAGAAAAGAAUCACCGGCAACCAUAUUCAUGGUUCUCACACAAAAAAAAUCAUCAAGUUCUAACUCUUCAAAAUUCUAAAACUGAACUUCUUCAUCGUUUACAUGUCCAAUAUAAAGAAAAAAAUCAAAAAAUUAAUGGCAACUAACUUAAAAUGGAAACUAAUCUAAAAUUAGAAACUAACUAAUUUCAAAGAAAUUGUUUCUAAAACAAAAGAAAAUCAAAUCAAAAUUUUUUUUCCUAAAUCCAUCGUGCAUCUGCAUCAUUAUGGACAUGGAGGCACUCUCUAUGGCACCAUGGAUGGCCUUCUAUGGCAUCACAGUGCACAGGCACCCACUGCAGCGUCACAACAGCGUCCUGCAUGGAUACCUCACUGGCUUACCGUGACCCCGUGAAGUUAUGCCAUGUGGACCUAUGAUUCACUUGAAAUGGAAUCUUUGGCCGAAAAUAUUCAAAUGGCUGUAACUUUUGAUCCAUUGUCCAAUUUUUGCAAACCAAGUGUCUUUAGAAAUCUUGUUUCGAGUACUAUCCGAUGUAUGGGAAUCGGGCACCGAUUUGGCCAGGAACAUCUUCGAAAAAGUGCCCCAAGCGUGAGAUCCACUUGAUGGUUUCUUGUAUGAUUAAAGGGCCAAAUCAGUGUUGUUUACACGACUUCUAGUACAAGGUUUUUAAAUGAUAAAACAACAUAUUUGCAACAACCAGACCAGUUUUGGAAAAUACAGAAGGUCCCACCUUGAUCAAGGGCAAUUUGAUGAUUUUUUUCAGAAAAAAAUUGCAUUUUCCUAAAAGCAAUAUUUUUUGUGAAAGAGAUCAAACGAGAUUCGAAGAGACUCCUUCAACCACUGCCAUGUGGAUCCCAAGGUUAAAAAAUGCGAUGUUUACACUUAAAAAAAAAAAACUGUUGAUCAAUGAGGCUGUUUAUUAAUUUUGAAACGCUCCCAAGUGCCAAUAUGUUUUGGGGAUUGAUAGAAACAUAAAAUCAGUAAAUUGAGUACCAUAAAGAAAGUCUUAAAAUCAUAUAAUUUUCAAGAUUUUAUUUGUUCAAUAAAUAAAUAGAAGCAUAUUAACAUGUGAAAUGAUUAGAAGAUUUCUUGCAUUUUAAAAUUGUAGCUGCUGCUAUACUGCAGGGGCACUUGUAUGUAUCCGUAACUUGCUGUCUCAUGACAAUGUGUCUAUAUUAGGGUAUAGUUUUUUUAACUGUUUAUCUUUUUUCUGUUUUCCUUUGAUUUUUGUUUCAAUGCAGGAAAAACGCCAGAAUGUUUCUUUUCACAGCCCCAAAACAAGAACAUCUGGGUUUGCUGUCUCUUCUGGCCAAGGCUCUCCUUCAGACUCUUCCAGCUCCAAUCGCUGGUUCAGGCCAGAGGUUGACUCAGCCCCAUCAAUUCGUUCUAUUCAGAUAGAGGAAAAGGCAAUGAAGGACCUCAAGCGCUUCUACAGCAGCGUUAGGUUGGUAAAAAAUCCGACCUAGGUGCAAUGAUUUUCUCCCGCUAGUAGAUUUAUUGUGGCCUGAGAAAACAUUUUUUUUUUUUAAUGAAAAAUGAAAAUUAGCAUUAAGCAAACAAAGAGGAAUAUACAGAUGAUCAGAGAAACCUUUUUCUGUGUGAUAUUUUCUCUUACUGAUGUAAAUAUUCUUGUACAGAUGAUCUAAGUGUACAUGCAACUUUUUUAUAUAGUAAGUUAAUUGUCAUCUACUAAA
This is a long non-coding RNA of Macadamia integrifolia, 2913 nucleotides long. RefSeq lists it as uncharacterized. The record is from RefSeq and is a predicted model, not a curated record. Lineage: Eukaryota; Viridiplantae; Streptophyta; Magnoliopsida; Proteales; Proteaceae. The transcript is spliced from 2 exons.